RNAcentral lists this long non-coding RNA (1007 nucleotides) under Malus domestica (apple). RNAcentral describes it as "long non-coding RNA (MDOM_LNC002546)". The record is from RNAcentral. Lineage: Eukaryota; Viridiplantae; Streptophyta; Magnoliopsida; Rosales; Rosaceae.
UAAAGAGGAAUACCACUAAAUUGUAAUAUUAAGUAACAACUUGAUGAUGAUAUUUAAACAUCUGUGGUGACAUUUAACCUUUUCAUGUAUGGUUUAAAUUUACUAUUAGAAAAUAUAAUACGAUAUGUUAUACUAUACCAAAAUUACCCAUGGAAAUGGAAUUAUUCAAGUGUGACUUUUAAAUGGUCUUCACAAUUAUAAUAAGAGGUUCAAAAACUUGAAUUAAGCAGGACUCGCCUCCAUUUGAGGAAUAGCUUUGCUUGCACAUAAUAAUAAUGCGAUUAAUUAGUAGAUAAAUAUUUGGUAUAUUAAAUGGAGCUAUAUACAAUGUCAUGCUUUAGCACUAACAUCCCCAAGUAGAAAUCUAUCUCCCGAACUUGUCUUUCCGUUCAAUAUUGGAUGGCCGCUCUAUAUAAAUAUAUGAUUUCCUUUCCCUUGUGAGAUUUUUUUUAAAUAAUUUUUAUUUAAAGGACACAUUUUGGUGCUCAUUCCUUGACUUUCCUCAAUGAUCCAGAUCUUCUAUAUUUUAGUACAUCAUUCAUCAAUCAUCAUUGAAGAAAAUAGGACAAAUCCAAAACCACUUAAGACAUCCAAUUGUAGUCAAAUAAUUUCAAAUUUGGGUGAUUUUUUGUACACACACACACACACAUAUACAUAUGAAUAUGAACCCCUUUCGUUGAGGGAUCCCUUAAAUAGCUUUGUUUGAGAGACAUCUUUUAGUGUCCAAUCCUCAAUGUAUUUCACGAUCCAACCAUUUAUCUUUAAGGUCUUCUUUAAGGAUCAUCUUUAUAAAAAAAUUACUCAAACCGAACAAUAGGACCGUUGGAUUAAAUGAUAGCUAUUUUAGUGUUUCUUUGAAGAAUGGCAUAUCAGAUAUUCAGAGAGAUGGGCUACUGGCCCACUCCUAACUACACAGAUAUUGUCUCAACUUAACCACCUAUUGCUAGAUAUUGAGUUUUAUCACAAAAUACCUCACUGUUAUUAGGGAUGGCAACGGUUCGGUUUGG